CCAGUCAUAGAAGAGGAGAAGGAUGUGGAGUGGUGAUGAUGCUAGACAUGGAUCUGUAGUGUCGAGUGGAGAAGGAUAUUGAGAGCCAGAGACAACAAGGUUUGGUGGUGACGAUGAAGUCUGUGACACUUCACAAAAUUGGAAGAUGAGAUUGUGAGUGUGACCCUUCGAAAAAAUUGUGAAUCUGGAAACAUAAGAAACGAGAGAGAGAGAGAGAGAGAGAGAGAGAGAGAGAGAGAGGAAAAAGCAAGAUGAAUCUGGACCAUUCAAAACAUUUAAUCAAUGGUUGUGAUUA
Molecule: long non-coding RNA, 295 nt
Filed under: Brassica napus (rape)
Lineage: Eukaryota; Viridiplantae; Streptophyta; Magnoliopsida; Brassicales; Brassicaceae
Description: long non-coding RNA (BNAP_LNC015879)
Source: RNAcentral